ACAGCAGCCGCGGUAAGACGAACCGUACAAACGUUAUUCGGAAUCACUGGGCUUAAAGGGUGCGUAGGCUGUUCGUUAAGUUGGGUGUGAAAUACCUCGGCUCAACCGAGGAAUUGCGCCCAAAACUGGCGGACUUGAGGGAGACAGAGGUAAGCGGAACUUAGGGUGGAGCGGUGAAAUGCGUUGAUAUCCUAAGGAACACCAGUGGCGAAAGCGGCUUACUGGGUCUCUUCUGACGCUGAGGCACGAAAGCUAGGGGAGCGAACGGGAUUAGAUACCCCGGUAGUCCUAGCCGUAAACUAUGAGCACUAGAUCGAAGGGUCCUCCAUAGCCUUUCGGUCGUAGCGAAAGUGUUAAGUGCUCCGCCUGGGGAGUAUGGUCGCAAGGCUGAAACUCAAAAGAAUUGACGGGGGCCCGCACAAGU
This 424-nucleotide ribosomal RNA is filed under the name uncultured bacterium. RNAcentral describes it as "bacterial SSU rRNA". It matches the Rfam family "Bacterial small subunit ribosomal RNA", at positions 508 to 930 of the family's 1533-position model. The record is from RNAcentral.